RNAcentral lists this ribosomal RNA (466 nucleotides) under uncultured bacterium. Its description in RNAcentral is "partial 16S ribosomal RNA". It matches the Rfam family "Bacterial small subunit ribosomal RNA", at positions 29 to 507 of the family's 1533-position model. The record is from RNAcentral.
ACGCACGCUGGCGGCGUGCUUAACACAUGCAAGUCGAACGGAAAGGCCUCUUUCGGGGGGUACUCGAGUGGCGAACGGGUGAGUAACACGUGAGUAACCUGCCCUUGACUUUGGGAUAACUUCAGGAAACUGGGGCUAAUACCGGAUAGGAGCUCCUGCUGCAUGGUGGGGGUUGGAAAGUUUCGGCGGUUGGGGAUGGACUCGCGGCUUAUCAGCUUGUUGGUGGGGUAGUGGCUUACCAAGGCUUUGACGGGUAGCCGGCCUGAGAGGGUGACCGGCCACAUUGGGACUGAGAUACGGCCCAGACUCCUACGGGAGGCAGCAGUGGGGAAUAUUGCACAAUGGGUGGAAGCCUGAUGCAGCAACGCCGUGUGCGGGAUGACGGCCUUCGGGUUGGAAACCGCUUUCGCUCAUGACGAAGCUUUGUGUGACGGUAGUGGGUAAAGAAGCACCGGCUAACUACGUG